RNAcentral lists this ribosomal RNA (2932 nucleotides) under Escherichia coli. Its description in RNAcentral is "bacterial LSU rRNA". It matches the Rfam family "Bacterial large subunit ribosomal RNA". RNAcentral also lists the same sequence under 2 other names. Lineage: Bacteria; Pseudomonadati; Pseudomonadota; Gammaproteobacteria; Enterobacterales; Enterobacteriaceae. The record is from RNAcentral.
GGGUUGUGAGGUUAAGCGACUAAGCGUACACGGUGGAUGCCCUGGCAGUCAGAGGCGAUGAAGGACGUGCUAAUCUGCGAUAAGCGUCGGUAAGGUGAUAUGAACCGUUAUAACCGGCGAUUUCCGAAUGGGGAAACCCAGUGUGAUUCGUCACACUAUCAUUAACUGAAUCCAUAGGUUAAUGAGGCGAACCGGGGGAACUGAAACAUCUAAGUACCCCGAGGAAAAGAAAUCAACCGAGAUUCCCCCAGUAGCGGCGAGCGAACGGGGAGCAGCCCAGAGCCUGAAUCAGUGUGUGUGUUAGUGGAAGCGUCUGGAAAGGCGCGCGAUACAGGGUGACAGCCCCGUACACAAAAAUGCACAUACUGUGAGCUCGAUGAGUAGGGCGGGACACGUGGUAUCCUGUCUGAAUAUGGGGGGACCAUCCUCCAAGGCUAAAUACUCCUGACUGACCGAUAGUGAACCAGUACCGUGAGGGAAAGGCGAAAAGAACCCCGGCGAGGGGAGUGAAAAAGAACCUGAAACCGUGUACGUACAAGCAGUGGGAGCACAGAGCAAUCUGUGUGACUGCGUACCUUUUGUAUAAUGGGUCAGCGACUUAUAUUCUGUAGCAAGGUUAACCGAAUAGGGGAGCCGAAGGGAAACCGAGUCUUAACCGGGCGUUAAGUUGCAGGGUAUAGACCCGAAACCCGGUGAUCUAGCCAUGGGCAGGUUGAAGGUUGGGUAACACUAACUGGAGGACCGAACCGACUAAUGUUGAAAAAUUAGCGGAUGACUUGUGGCUGGGGGUGAAAGGCCAAUCAAACCGGGAGAUAGCUGGUUCUCCCCGAAAGCUAUUUAGGUAGCGCCUCGUGAAUUCAUCUCCGGGGGUAGAGCACUGUUUCGGCAAGGGGGUCAUCCCGACUUACCAACCCGAUGCAAACUGCGAAUACCGGAGAAUGUUAUCACGGGAGACACACGGCGGGUGCUAACGUCCGUCGUGAAGAGGGAAACAACCCAGACCGCCAGCUAAGGUCCCAAAGUCAUGGUUAAGUGGGAAACGAUGUGGGAAGGCCCAGACAGCCAGGAUGUUGGCUUAGAAGCAGCCAUCAUUUAAAGAAAGCGUAAUAGCUCACUGGUCGAGUCGGCCUGCGCGGAAGAUGUAACGGGGCUAAACCAUGCACCGAAGCUGCGGCAGCGACACUGUGUGUUGUUGGGUAGGGGAGCGUUCUGUAAGCCUGUGAAGGUGUGCUGUGAGGCAUGCUGGAGGUAUCAGAAGUGCGAAUGCUGACAUAAGUAACGAUAAAGCGGGUGAAAAGCCCGCUCGCCGGAAGACCAAGGGUUCCUGUCCAACGUUAAUCGGGGCAGGGUGAGUCGACCCCUAAGGCGAGGCCGAAAGGCGUAGUCGAUGGGAAACAGGUUAAUAUUCCUGUACUUGGUGUUACUGCGAAGGGGGGACGGAGAAGGCUAUGUUGGCCGGGCGACGGUUGUCCCGGUUUAAGCGUGUAGGCUGGUUUUCCAGGCAAAUCCGGAAAAUCAAGGCUGAGGCGUGAUGACGAGGCACUACGGUGCUGAAGCAACAAAUGCCCUGCUUCCAGGAAAAGCCUCUAAGCAUCAGGUAACAUCAAAUCGUACCCCAAACCGACACAGGUGGUCAGGUAGAGAAUACCAAGGCGCUUGAGAGAACUCGGGUGAAGGAACUAGGCAAAAUGGUGCCGUAACUUCGGGAGAAGGCACGCUGAUAUGUAGGUGAAGUCCCUCGCGGAUGGAGCUGAAAUCAGUCGAAGAUACCAGCUGGCUGCAACUGUUUAUUAAAAACACAGCACUGUGCAAACACGAAAGUGGACGUAUACGGUGUGACGCCUGCCCGGUGCCGGAAGGUUAAUUGAUGGGGUCAGCGCAAGCGAAGCUCUUGAUCGAAGCCCCGGUAAACGGCGGCCGUAACUAUAACGGUCCUAAGGUAGCGAAAUUCCUUGUCGGGUAAGUUCCGACCUGCACGAAUGGCGUAAUGAUGGCCAGGCUGUCUCCACCCGAGACUCAGUGAAAUUGAACUCGCUGUGAAGAUGCAGUGUACCCGCGGCAAGACGGAAAGACCCCGUGAACCUUUACUAUAGCUUGACACUGAACAUUGAGCCUUGAUGUGUAGGAUAGGUGGGAGGCUUUGAAGUGUGGACGCCAGUCUGCAUGGAGCCGACCUUGAAAUACCACCCUUUAAUGUUUGAUGUUCUAACGUGGACCCGUGAUCCGGGUUGCGGACAGUGUCUGGUGGGUAGUUUGACUGGGGCGGUCUCCUCCUAAAGAGUAACGGAGGAGCACGAAGGUUGGCUAAUCCUGGUCGGACAUCAGGAGGUUAGUGCAAUGGCAUAAGCCAGCUUGACUGCGAGCGUGACGGCGCGAGCAGGUGCGAAAGCAGGUCAUAGUGAUCCGGUGGUUCUGAAUGGAAGGGCCAUCGCUCAACGGAUAAAAGGUACUCCGGGGAUAACAGGCUGAUACCGCCCAAGAGUUCAUAUCGACGGCGGUGUUUGGCACCUCGAUGUCGGCUCAUCACAUCCUGGGGCUGAAGUAGGUCCCAAGGGUAUGGCUGUUCGCCAUUUAAAGUGGUACGCGAGCUGGGUUUAGAACGUCGUGAGACAGUUCGGUCCCUAUCUGCCGUGGGCGCUGGAGAACUGAGGGGGGCUGCUCCUAGUACGAGAGGACCGGAGUGGACGCAUCACUGGUGUUCGGGUUGUCAUGCCAAUGGCACUGCCCGGUAGCUAAAUGCGGAAGAGAUAAGUGCUGAAAGCAUCUAAGCACGAAACUUGCCCCGAGAUGAGUUCUCCCUGACCCUUUAAGGGUCCUGAAGGAACGUUGAAGACGACGACGUUGAUAGGCCGGGUGUGUAAGCGCAGCGAUGCGUUGAGCUAACCGGUACUAAUGAACCGUGAGGCUUAACCUUACAACGCCGAAGGUGUUU